AUACGGAGGGUGCAAGCGGUAAUCGGAAUUACUGGGCGUAAAGCGUACGUAGGCGGUUCGUUAAGUUAGAUGUGAAAGCCCCGGGCUUAACCUGGGAACUGCAUUUAAAACUGGCGAACUAGAGUUGAGUAGAGGGGAGUUGAAUUUCAGGUGUAGCGGUGAAAUGCGUAGAGAUCUGAAGGAACACCAGUGGCGAAGGCGACUCCCUGGACUCGAACUGACGCUGAGGUACGAAAGCGUGGGUAGCAAACGGGAUUAGAAACCCUUGUAGUCC
Molecule: ribosomal RNA, 274 nt
Filed under: uncultured bacterium
Lineage: Bacteria
Description: partial 16S ribosomal RNA
Rfam family: Bacterial small subunit ribosomal RNA
Source: RNAcentral